UGGGGAAUAUUGCACAAUGGGCGCAAGCCUGAUGCAGCCAUGCCGCGUGUAUGAAGAAGGCCUUCGGGUUGUAAAGUACUUUCAGUCGGGAGGAAGGUGUCAAGGUUAAUAACCUUGGCAAUUGACGUUACCGACAGAAGAAGCACCGGCUAACUCCGUGCCAGCAGCCGCGGUAAUACGGAGGGUGCAAGCGUAAAUCGGAAUUACUGGGCGUAAAGCGCACGCAGGCGGUUGAUUGAGUCAGAUGUGAAAUCCCCGGGCUUAACCCGGGAAUUGCAUCUGAUACUGGUCAGCUAGAGUCUUGUAGAGGGGGGUAGAAUGCCAUGUGUAGCGGUGAAAUGCGUAGAGAUGUGGAGGAAUACCGGUGGCGAAGGCGGCCCCCUGGACAAAGACUGACGCUCAGGUGCGAAAGCGUGGGGAGCAAACAGG
This 429-nucleotide ribosomal RNA is filed under the name Chloroflexota bacterium. Its description in RNAcentral is "Chloroflexi bacterium partial 16S ribosomal RNA". It matches the Rfam family "Bacterial small subunit ribosomal RNA", at positions 355 to 776 of the family's 1533-position model. The record is from RNAcentral. Lineage: Bacteria; Bacillati; Chloroflexota.